This 835-nucleotide ribosomal RNA is filed under the name uncultured bacterium. RNAcentral's name for it is "bacterial SSU rRNA". It matches the Rfam family "Bacterial small subunit ribosomal RNA", at positions 527 to 1381 of the family's 1533-position model. The record is from RNAcentral.
GAGGGAUGCAAGCGUUAUCCGGAAUUAUUGGGCGUAAAGCGUUUGUAGGCGGGCGAGUGUGUUUAAUGUUAAAUCUUAAAGCUCAACUUUGAAAUUGCGUUAAAAACUGCUUGUCUUGAGUAUGGUAGGGGUAAAGGGAAUUCCCAGUGUAGCGGUGAAAUGCGUAGAUAUUGGGAAGAACACUAAACAGCGAAGGCACUUUACUAGGCUAAUACUGACGCUGAGAAACGAAAGGUAAGGUAGCGAAACGGAUUAGAUACCCGUGUAGUCUUACCCGUAAACUAUGGACACUAAACGGUAAAUUUUUAAUUUACUGUUAAAGCUAACGCGUUAAGUGUCCCGCCUGGGGAGUAUGCUUGCAAAAGUGAAACUCAAAGGAAUUGACGGGGGCCCGCACAAGCGGUGGAGCAUGUGGUUUAAUUCGACGGUACACGAAGAACCUUACCAGGAUUUGACAUGCUAGAUAGUUGCUUGAAAGAGUAACGUGCCGUAAGGAAUCUAGACACAGGUGGUGCAUGGCUGUCGUCAGUUCGUGUUGUGAAAUGUUGGGUUAAGUCCCGCAACGAACGCAACCCUUGUCUUUAGUUAUUUUCUAAAGAGACUGCCUGUAAUAAACAGGAGGAAGGUAAGGAUGAGGUCAAGUCAUCAUGCCCCUUAUGUCCUGGGCUACACACGUGCUACAAUGGGAAAGACAAUGAGCUGCAAAUCUGUAAAUUUAAGCAAAUCUCUUAAACUUUCUCGUAGUUCGGAUUGUGGGCUGCAACUCGCCCACAUGAAGUUGGAAUCGCUAGUAAUCGCCAGUCAGCUAUAUGGCGGUGAAUCCGUUCCCGGGCCU